UCACUUCUGAAGAGUCCCAUACUAAGACGAAACGGCCGUCCAGUGC
This is a non-coding RNA of Schistosoma margrebowiei, 46 nucleotides long. The record is from Rfam. Lineage: Eukaryota; Metazoa; Platyhelminthes; Trematoda; Strigeidida; Schistosomatidae.